Molecule: ribosomal RNA, 560 nt
Filed under: uncultured Bacteroides sp.
Lineage: Bacteria; Pseudomonadati; Bacteroidota; Bacteroidia; Bacteroidales; Bacteroidaceae
Description: bacterial SSU rRNA
Rfam family: Bacterial small subunit ribosomal RNA
Source: RNAcentral
AUCCACCUGGGGAGUACGAUCGCAAGGUUGAAACUCAAAGGAAUUGACGGGGGCCCGCACAAGCGGUGGAGCAUGUGGUUUAAUUCGAUGAUACGCGAGGAACCUUACCUGGGCUCAAAUGCAUAAUGACAAACCCUGAAAGGGGUCUUUCUUCGGACAUUUUGCAAGGUGCUGCAUGGUUGUCGUCAGCUCGUGCCGUGAGGUGUCGGGUUAAGUCCCAUAACGAGCGCAACCCCUACUCUUAGUUGCCAGCAUGUAAUGAUGGGGACUCUAGGAGAACUGCCUACGCAAGUAGAGAGGAAGGUGGGGAUGACGUCAAAUCAGCACGGCCCUUACGUCCAGGGCUACACACGUGCUACAAUGGCCGGUACAGAGGGCAGCCACCUGGUGACAGGGAGCGAAUCUCUAAAGCCGGUCUCAGUUCGGAUCGAAGUCUGCAACCCGACUUCGUGAAGCUGGAAUCGCUAGUAAUCGCGCAUCAGCCAUGGCGCGGUGAAUACGUUCCCGGGCCUUGUACACACCGCCCGUCAAGCCAUGGAAGCUGGGGGUACCUGAAGUCA